CUUUAUGAAUGUACAUAUCUAUACCGAUACAUUAUUACCUAUAGAAUUUGCCACAUGGUAGUUUCUCUUUUACUCUUUCCUUUUUUCCCUUUCUUACUUCCUGUUGCUUCGCCUUCCCACCUCUCAUCUCCACUCAAUGUUUCAUCUUUCCAACCACCCACUUUCCAAUUAAUAUGUUCACAUAGUUUAUUGUAAUCUAAAUCAAUCGCUUUCACAAUAAAAUAAAAUAAAAUAAAAUAAAAUCUAUUUAUCUAUACCUAUACAUUAUUCUUCAUAAAAUUUGUCACAUGGUAGUUUCUCUUUCGCUCUUUCCUUCUCUCUCCUCCUCACUUCUUGAUGCUUUGUCUUCCCACCUUUCAUCUCCACUCGAUGUUUCGUCUUUUCAACCGCCCACUUUUCAAUUAAUAUGUUCACAUAGUUUCUUGUCAUCUAAACCAAUCACUUUUACAAAAAAAAGAUAAAUAAAUAAAAUCUAUUUAUACUUUUUUUUCUCAUACUAUUUGUAUUUAUUGAUGUCACAUGGCAAGUCAAAAAAUUUUAAAAUUUUAUUUUAUUAAUUUUUUUUAUCUUCGAUAGUAUUAGUCUGUCAUAAUGUACGGAUAAUUUUA
This 608-nucleotide long non-coding RNA is filed under the name Ananas comosus (pineapple). Its description in RNAcentral is "long non-coding RNA (ACOM_LNC032056)". The record is from RNAcentral. Lineage: Eukaryota; Viridiplantae; Streptophyta; Magnoliopsida; Poales; Bromeliaceae.